AUUGGAGUGGGGGUGCUAUACAUGCGUCGAGCGGACAGAAGGGAGCUUGCUCCCGGAUGUUAGCGGCGGACGGGUGAGUAACACGUGGGUAACCUGCCUGUAAGACUGGGAUAACUCCGGGAAACCGGAGCUAAUACCGGAUAGUUCCUUGAACCGCAUGGUUCAAGGAUGAAAGACGGUUUCGGCUGUCACUUACAGAUGGACCCGCGGCGCAUUAGCUAGUUGGUGGGGUAAUGGCUCACCAAGGCGACGAGCGUAGCCGACCUGAGAGGGUGAUCGGCCACACUGGGACUGAGACACGGCCCAGACUCCUACGGGAGGCAGCAGUAGGGAAUCUUCCGCAAUGGACGAAAGUCUGACGGAGCAACGCCGCGUGAGUGAUGAAGGUUUUCGGAUCGUAAAGCUCUGUUGUUAGGGAAGAACAAGUGCGAGAGUAACUGCUCGCACCUUGACGGUACCUAACCAGAAAGCCACGGCUAACUACGUGCCAGCAGCCGCGGUAAUACGUAGGUGGCAAGCGUUGUCCGGAAUUAUUGGGCGUAAAGGGCUCGCAGGCGGUUUCUUAAGUCUGAUGUGAAAGCCCCCGGCUCAACCGGGGAGGGUCAUUGGAAACUGGGAAACUUGAGUGCAGAAGAGGAGAGUGGAAUUCCACGUGUAGCGGUGAAAUGCGUAGAGAUGUGGAGGAACACCAGUGGCGAAGGCGACUCUCUGGUCUGUAACUGACGCUGAGGAGCGAAAGCGUGGGGAGCGAACAGGAUUAGAUACCCUGGUAGUCCACGCCGUAAACGAUGAGUGCUAAGUGUUAGGGGGUUUCCGCCCCUUAGUGCUGCAGCUAACGCAUUAAGCACUCCGCCUGGGGAGUACGGUCGCAAGACUGAAACUCAAAGGAAUUGACGGGGGCCCGCACAAGCGGUGGAGCAUGUGGUUUAAUUCGAA
This 936-nucleotide ribosomal RNA is filed under the name Bacillus pumilus. RNAcentral describes it as "bacterial SSU rRNA". It matches the Rfam family "Bacterial small subunit ribosomal RNA", at positions 35 to 955 of the family's 1533-position model. Lineage: Bacteria; Bacillati; Bacillota; Bacilli; Caryophanales; Bacillaceae. The record is from RNAcentral.